RNAcentral lists this ribosomal RNA (445 nucleotides) under uncultured bacterium. Its description in RNAcentral is "partial 16S ribosomal RNA". It matches the Rfam family "Bacterial small subunit ribosomal RNA", at positions 354 to 796 of the family's 1533-position model. The record is from RNAcentral.
GUAGGGAAUAUUGGGCAAUGGAUGCAAGUCUGACCCAGCCAUCCCGCGUGCCGGAAGAAGGCCCUCAGGGUUGUAAACGGCUUUUGACGGUGAAGAAUCGACAGGAUGCGUCCUGUUUUGACGGUAGCCGUUGAAUAAGCACCGGCUAACUCCGUGCCAGCAGCCGCGGUAAUACGGAGGGUGCGAGCGUUGUCCGGAUUUAUUGGGUUUAAAGGGUGCGUAGGCUGGCAGGUCAGUCAGCGGUGAAAAGCUGUCGCUUAACGAUAGUCUUGCCGCAGAUACUUCCUUUCUUGGAUGAGGAGGAGGCCACUGGAACGGAUGGUGUAGCGGUGAAAUGCAUAGAUAUCAUCCAGAACACCGAUUGCGAAGGCAGGUGGCUGUACCUUAAUCGACGCUGAUGCACGAAAGCAUGGGGAGCAAACAGGAUUAGAUACCCGGGUAGUCC